This 397-nucleotide ribosomal RNA is filed under the name Mataza sp. RNAcentral describes it as "partial small subunit ribosomal RNA". It matches the Rfam family "Eukaryotic small subunit ribosomal RNA", at positions 582 to 975 of the family's 1831-position model. Lineage: Eukaryota; Cercozoa; Thecofilosea. The record is from RNAcentral.
AUUCCAGCUCCAAUAGCAUAUAUUAAAGUUGUUGCAGUUAAAAAGCUCGUAGUUGGAUUUCUGGCAUGAUGCGCCUGGCCCGCCGUGAUUACGCGUGUGUGUGCUAGUGCGCGUCUGCCAUCCAUUGGCAGAAUAUGUCUACCCUUAAUUGGGCCGGAUAUGUGAUGUCAAUCUUUUACUUUGAAAAAAUUAGAGUGUAUAAAGCAGGCAUUUGCUAUGAAUACAUUAGCAUGGAAUAAUAAUCUAGGACUUCGGUUCUAUUUUGUUGGUUUCUAGAUCUGGAGUAAUGAUUGAUAGGGAUAGUUGGGGGUGCUAGUAUUAAGGGGCCAGAGGUGAAAUUCUUGGAUUCUCUUAAGACUAACUUAUGCGAAAGCAUUCACCAAGGAUGCCUUCAUUA